Molecule: ribosomal RNA, 443 nt
Filed under: uncultured bacterium
Lineage: Bacteria
Description: partial 16S ribosomal RNA
Rfam family: Bacterial small subunit ribosomal RNA
Source: RNAcentral
CCUACGGGAGGCAGCAGUGGGGAAUAUUGGGCAAUGGGCGCAAGCCUGACCCAGCAACGCCGCGUGAAGGAAGAAGGCUUUCGGGUUGUAAACUUCUUUUCUCAGGGACGAGGAAGGUGACAGUAGCUGAGGAAUAAGCCACUGCUAACUACGUACCAGCAGCCGCGGUAAUACGGGGGUGGCAAGCGUUCGGCGGAUUUAUUUGGGGUAAAGGGCGUGUAGGCGGGUGCGUAAGUUAGAUGUGAAAAGGCAGGGCUCAACCCUGAGCCUGCAUUUGAAACUGUGUGUCUUGAGUGCAGGAGAGGAAAGUGGAAUUCCGGGUGUAGCGGUGAAAUGCGUAGAUAUAAGGAGGAACACCAGUGGCGAAGGCGGAUUGCUGGACAGUAACUGACGCUGAGGCGCGAAAGCGUGGGGAGCAAACAGGAUUAGAUACCCUUGUAGUC